GAACCACACUCCUCCACCAGGAAGCCUUGGAAACACAGAGUCAAAUACAGCUGGAGUGGGAAAAUGCACUUGCGAGACCCACCCUGGCGUUGUGUGGGGGUGCCAGGUCCUGUUGACUUCACCCAACCACUUAGAAGCCAAAAGCAGUAACCCCAAACUCUCCGUACUGCUUCGCUGUAAGGACCGGUCUCCCCUGCAUUGAUCUCACCGCUUCCGCCCGCCGGCAGGAGCAACUCAGUUGGCCAAGGUGCUGACCCGUUGAAAGGUAUCUCCAGUUUUUCUAAAACGUUGCCCAGCAAUUAUUUUUUAAUACUUGUGUGCUGUGUUCCGGGAAGGCCUGAAAACAAUAGUGAAAAUGGAACUUUAGGGACAAUCCCAGUUCUCUUUGUAAUUUACGAGGAAUUCUAAUCCGGGAGUUUAAACAGGGAGGCCCAUUGGAGCCUCACCGUAGGACUGUGGUUGGUACAAUAACCUCUGAGGACUCGUCAAAGACGGAUUCACUUGAUGCCAAAUUCUUUUCUAUCAUCCAAGAGUGGCCAACGAGACCAAGGAUCCCUUUUAAUCAGAUAGCUCCUGCUGGCAUGAGCUGUCAGAGGUAUUCAUUUCAGCGGACUCUGGCCUUAUACUGCAUUACCUUGGCAACAAGAUUUAGAGGCAAAGCCCUGGCCUUGAACUUGUCAGAAUCUCCACCGAUAUGAACCUGGCACAUAUUACUCUCCAGCCUACCAAGUUGUCAUGCCAACCGCUAACAAUAAAAGCCAUCUCUCUCUUCUAGGGUUUUAAUUCAAUAACUUUUCAAAUUGGUUCCUUCUGUAAUUUAA
This 821-nucleotide long non-coding RNA is filed under the name Chinchilla lanigera (long-tailed chinchilla). RNAcentral describes it as "lncRNA (ENSCLAG00000028392.1)". The record is from RNAcentral. Lineage: Eukaryota; Metazoa; Chordata; Mammalia; Rodentia; Chinchillidae.